Molecule: RNA transcript, 8648 nt
Organism: Camelus dromedarius (Arabian camel)
Lineage: Eukaryota; Metazoa; Chordata; Mammalia; Artiodactyla; Camelidae
Gene: KCNC1
Gene name: potassium voltage-gated channel subfamily C member 1
Exons: 3
Source: RefSeq, a predicted model, not a curated record
GCGAGAAAGCGAGCCAGCUAGCCGAGCAGCAGCCCCGGCGGCAGCAGCGUCGCGGCGGCGGCGGUGGCCGCUCCGCGGCUCGCCUUCCGGGCCUCGUCAGCCUUGCUUCGCCGCGCCCAGACCCGCCACCCCCGCCUCUGGGCCCCCACCGCCGCAGCCCCCUCGCCUCGGCCGGCAGCGCCAAACGCCUGUCCGAAGCGGGGCGCGGAGCGCGGGGCGCAGAGGCACCGGAGCCAGUGCCCGCCGCCCCGCAGACCGAACCCAGCCCAGAGAACCCUCGCUCGGCCCGGCGAAGCUCCGUGACAGUCCGGGAGCUGUCCCUUCAGCACCGCCGCCGGAGUCGGAGCCUGAGUCGGAGCGCAAUCCAGCGGAGAGCCCCAGCUCCAGCCCGAGCGCACCGAGCGCUGCGCUCCGCGGCAGCCGCACCGAUCAGCAACCCCGGUGCUCCUGCCCAGGGGGCCCGCCAUCUCCUCCGAGAGGCGGGGAGAAGGAGCGAGGAGGGCGGGCGGGCAGGCGCGCCCGCCGCCGGGGGGAGCAGGCAGCCAGGCAAGGAGAGGGAGGGGGCCGGAGUCCGCCCUGCGCCCCGAGCUGCAGCCGGGCCACGCAGGGAGGUAGGCAGCGGGCAUCCAUCUCCCCCGCGCCGAGAACGCGCUGCAGCGACCACCUCACAGCAGAGCGCGAAUUUCCCGGCCCCCUCUCCUCAAUUCCCCUCCCCCUUCCGGGGGCUGGUCUGUGUCCAGCCCUGGGAGCAGCUGACCUUCCUCCAAAAAGCUUUGUGUCGAUUUCUCCAUUUUCUCUCUGAGAUGGGGACGGGAGCCCGGUCCCCCCACCCUCUUUUCCCUCCUCCUGGGGCUGGUCGCUGAGCGCCACCCCCUCCCUCCUUUCCUCCCUCGAUCUCUCCCUCCCUUCUUUCCUCCUCUGCCUCCUCCGCAGCCGGACCAGCUCCCUCCCACAUCUGGCGCCUUGAGACCCUGGGGAUCCCGCGCACACUCCCUUGGACCAGCACCCGACAGCAAGCGCCCUGAGGGGCUUGGGCCGCUCUUGGGGUGGCCAGAGCCGCGAUCCUCUGUCCCCCCGACGGCUGGGGGGAGGGGGGAGGAGGCCACAAGCCCCCCUCCCCGGCGCCAACUCCCCCUGGCGGCCGCUCCCAUGGGUGUCGCUGGGCCGCGCCAUGCCUAAGGGGGCGCCGCGAUGGGCCAAGGGGACGAAAGCGAGCGCAUCGUGAUCAACGUGGGCGGCACGCGCCACCAGACGUACCGCUCGACGCUACGCACGCUGCCCGGCACGCGGCUCGCCUGGCUGGCGGAGCCCGACGCCCACAGCCACUUCGACUAUGACCCGCGUGCCGACGAGUUCUUUUUCGACCGCCACCCGGGCGUCUUCGCUCACAUCCUGAACUACUACCGCACUGGCAAGCUGCACUGCCCGGCCGACGUGUGCGGGCCACUCUACGAGGAGGAGCUGGCCUUCUGGGGCAUUGACGAGACCGACGUGGAGCCCUGCUGCUGGAUGACGUACCGCCAGCACCGCGACGCCGAGGAGGCGCUGGACAGCUUUGGCGGCGCGCCCCUGGACAACAGCGCCGACGACGCGGACGCCGACGGUCCCGGAGACUCAGGCGACGGCGAGGACGAGUUGGAGAUGACCAAGCGCCUGGCGCUCAGCGACUCCCCAGACGGCCGGCCCGGCGGCUUCUGGCGCCGCUGGCAGCCGCGCAUCUGGGCGCUCUUCGAGGACCCCUACUCAUCCCGCUACGCGCGGUAUGUGGCCUUUGCCUCCCUCUUCUUCAUCCUGGUCUCCAUCACCACCUUCUGCCUGGAGACCCAUGAGCGCUUCAACCCCAUCGUGAACAAGACAGAGAUCGAGAAUGUUCGGAAUGGCACGCAAGUGCGCUACUACCGGGAAGCAGAGACGGAGGCCUUCCUCACCUACAUCGAGGGCGUCUGUGUGGUCUGGUUCACCUUCGAGUUCCUCAUGCGUGUGGUCUUCUGCCCCAACAAGGUGGAGUUCAUCAAGAACUCGCUCAACAUCAUCGACUUCGUGGCCAUCCUCCCCUUCUAUCUGGAGGUGGGCCUGAGCGGCCUGUCCUCUAAGGCCGCCAAGGACGUCCUGGGCUUCCUGCGUGUCGUCCGCUUCGUGCGCAUCCUGCGCAUCUUCAAGCUGACCCGCCACUUUGUGGGCCUGCGGGUCCUGGGCCACACUCUCCGUGCCAGCACCAAUGAGUUCCUACUGCUCAUCAUUUUCCUGGCUCUGGGUGUCCUGAUCUUUGCCACCAUGAUCUACUAUGCCGAGAGGAUAGGGGCGCAGCCCAAUGACCCCAGCGCCAGUGAGCACACCCACUUUAAGAACAUCCCCAUCGGCUUCUGGUGGGCCGUGGUCACCAUGACGACCCUGGGCUACGGAGACAUGUACCCGCAGACAUGGUCCGGCAUGCUGGUGGGAGCGCUGUGUGCGCUGGCGGGCGUGCUGACCAUCGCCAUGCCCGUACCCGUCAUCGUGAACAAUUUUGGGAUGUAUUACUCCUUAGCCAUGGCUAAGCAGAAACUACCAAAGAAAAAAAAGAAGCAUAUUCCACGGCCACCGCAGCUGGGAUCUCCCAAUUAUUGUAAAUCUGUCGUAAACUCUCCACACCACAGUACUCAGAGUGACACAUGCCCGCUGGCCCAGGAAGAAAUUUUAGAAAUUAACAGAGCAGGUAGGAAACCUCUUAGAGGCAUGUCAAUCUGACCUUUCACUUCCGCCCCCUGUAGCGAUGAUUCCUGAUUCAGUCAGACUGCUUCCUUAGUUCCGUGGGUGAUCCUGGAUCCCGCACUCAGUCUCGAGGUGUGGAGUCUGGGGGGCCCAGGGAGAUGCUGGGCAGCCACAUUCACGAGGCGCAAGCCUGCGAGAAGAGCCUCACUGGUGGCCCUGGGUAAGGAGGUUGACACACUGGUCUCGUGGGUUCUGAAGAGAUGACACGGCCCGCGAGGCUGCUGAGGACUCUCUUCGCAGGAGCCCGGGGGCGCUGCUGCUUGGUGGGCAGGAGUUGCCCUUGAGUCGCUGACUCAGGCCACUGACCCAGUGUCGGGGCAGGGCAGGGGUGGGUGUGAUUCGGAAAUGCCAGACAGCUUCUGAUUUGGUCUUUACACGGUUCCCUUCAGGCCGUGCACGUGGCGCAGAUGGUGCAUGGGAUCUGGCAGGAGGGUCCCUGCACAGGCAGUAGCAAGGAUUCUCACCCCCAAAAGAGCCUGUCUCCAUAGCUGAGUAGAAUUCCUGCUCUGAUGCCGGCUGCCUAGCUCCAGGUGCGUCCUAGGAGACGCCUCUUGCCCUCCGUAACAAGCUUACUUACCCCUUAGCAUGCGGAACCAACUCAUCUUCUACCACCACUCUAGAGUUUAGCGUUUAUCUUUAGGAACCUGUUGGAGUGACUCUAGCUUUCACGUUGUCUGUUUGGGUUGAUGGUCAAGUGGGAGCUUCCGGUGGCCUUCUGAUGGAAGUGGCUGGUGAGCGAAGGACUAGAGGGGGCCACCACCCGGGCAGCUUAGAUGAAAGCACUACAGACCAGCAACAACCUCCCACCGAGAGCUCCCCCUGUUUCCGGCAGUAGGGACUGCAGCAGCAAUACACCACAUCCCAGCCAGUGCACGACCACGUUCCCGUGAAUUCAGGGGGUCAGGGAGGGGGGAGGGCGGCCAUGAAACAAUACUAGUCACCGUGGGAUAUAUUCUCAUAUUCCAUGGCUAGUGGUUAGUUAUGGGACUAUCUCAGUUUUAUGAGAACCUGCACAUAGCACAUAAAGUUGAUCACGGGGCUCUGGUCCGAAGAUAUAAAGCCCAUAGUCUACCUCUACCCAUGGAAUACCAUCGACUUAUUCUGUGGACACAGGGAUUGCCAGGGAAUGAACGACCCAGAGAAGAAUGACAACACUGAGCUAAGAAGGAGUGCUGGGUGAGGGAGGCUGAGUGAGUGACAGGUAGUGUCUAGUCGACGAGGGACACCCCUGUGCCCGGGUCAGGCCAGAGGGCCGCAGGCCAGCUCGGCCCUCAAUGAGCAAGUGCCCCUGGGUUUGGGUGGCCUCCUCCAGUGGAUGACUGAUUCUUUCUUCCCCGCUGACGUGCUCUCUGGCCCACCACCCCCAUCCUGUUCCUGAUCUCGCUUCAUCCCACAGCUCUGCUGCCGACUUCUCUGUCCAGGGGGGCUUUCCAGCCCCUUCGCCUGGCCCCAUACCCCUCCCCACUCCCCGGGAUUCCUGUAGGCACCUGAGAGGAACGUGCUAUGUGCCUAGACGGAUGUGGGGUUGGCGUGACUUUGUGAGUGAGUGUGGGGGAGGCCAGAGGUGAAGAAGGCAAAUGGGGGCGGAGACUGGAUCAUGCAGGAACUGAUUGGUAAGAGGCAGCCCCUAAAGCCUUUCCAACCUCACUCCACCCCUAAGAGCAGUCAGGUGGCCUCAGUGAAACCUGGGGUUCUCCAAUUCCACUUUUAGAAUGUAGGUUGGGGUCAAGUUCAGCAUGCUGGGCUCUAAGGGCACUUCCCCCCAUCCAGGGCUAGACCCCUGGGACUCAGUCAAGGCCACCCAGUCAUGCCAGGGGCACCCUCCCCUUACCUCCACCUCUUGGUCUCUCCUGAAGCCUCAGGUCUGUGUGUCUGUGAGGGUUGAUCUGGUCUCCUUGGUACCGUGGCUGGCAUGGCCUCAGUGUCUGGGGGACUCUUCCUGGCAAGGGUCGUAGGGCCUCAUGGUGGGGAUGCCAGGAGCGUGCCCUCCAUGGUCAGGGACUGCCUGGGGAUAAGAGCCCAGGAGAAGCUGCUCCUCUCCCAGAAAGGGGGUCCCUCCCCCACUUGCAGUCGGGGACACAGACCUCCUGCUCUGGGCAGUUCCGAGUGCUCCCUCUGUCCUGCCAUUCACGUGUGUCUUGUCCAUCUCUGCUCCUGUAAUGUGGGUUGGUUCUCUGUGGUUCUGCAUCUGGGGCUGCGGGGUCCCACCAUAGGUGAGCAAGGUACUGGCACGGGGGAUGGUGGUGGCCAGACCCACUUCCUGCCCAUGAGCACAUAGGGCAGCAGUGAGGCCCCAGAAAAGCCCCUGCCUGGGCCCCCCCUGGGAGCUACCACUGCAGCCUCUGGGUCAUCUUUGCCGGGGGGAGGGUUCUCCCCUGAGCAGCUGGUCCGAAGCACUGUGGCCCUGGCCCUCCACCCUCCCCUGCUGGGCUGGGCUGCAGUGGGUGUCGGGAGUGGUGUAACCCCCGGGGCAGGGAAGGUGGCGGGAUUGGGACAGCCAUGACCAGGCAGGGUGUGGGCAAGGCCCCUUCACAUAGGCUGACCGAGUUUUCGCUUGGAUGUGGGGGCCAAGGUGGGCGGCGGGGGCCCUGAACGUGGUCGACGUGGCCCCCAGGUGUGCUAAGGGGGAAGGAGCAGAGAAAUGAAGGAGCUUGAGGGCCAGGCCUGGGUGUUCUUUUCUGUGUUGUUCACAUGCUCUCUCUUUCUCUCUCUCUACUAAUCAUGUUUCUCUCUCUCUCUCCUCGUUUUGUUGCAUGACUUGUGCUGGUUCUCGUGACUGUACUCUGCUCGUGUCUUUCCCAGACUGUCCCCAGUUAGCAGGGGACUUUUUCCCUGAGCCCCUAGCUGGGCAGACCCCUCAGGGCUAAACCCAAGGAAAUGCCCAGCCACCCCUGCCUGCCCUGCCCUAGCCCUGCGUGCGCCCCCGGCGCCCGCUGCUGGUGUGAACAGUAAGUACCUUGGCGGUGCCUGGACACCAAGGCACAAAUGUCAGCCUGCUGGCUGACGGCCGGACACCGGGUUCUCCUUGCUCCAAAGUUUAAAAAAAAAUGACCCUCUCGCGGACGCUCAUCUCUCUCAGCCCAUUUCAAAGCCUGGAAACCAUCUCCGUGAGACGCUGCCCAUGCUGCCAUUUCAUCAUCACAGGCCAGCGGGUCUAGUGGGGCUGAGGGGCCCUGGGCUGGGGAGGCAGGGCUCCCAGCCUUCAGGGGAGCAGGUGGGAAUUGAGGGACCGGGUGGCCAUCUCAUCUAAAGGACAGGGUAGAGGCAGGAGUAGGCGGGGGGUCUUGGGAGUAUCUGGCCUUUUUCACAGAUUCCCCAGGUUUGGAGAGCUGGCCCUCCGUUGGUUUGUCUCUCUUCCAGCCACUCCUCUGGAGUCAGGGAGGGAGAAUGCUCUCAGCUUCUGAAAACACCCCAAACUGCAGAUAAGCCAACAGCCCAGGGAGGCUGGCUCCUUCACAGAGGAGGACCUAAACCCUCAGGCACAGCCCCUUCUCAGAGGUCAUGGCUGGGAGAAGAAGCAGGCUUCAGGGAGGGAAGGGUGUCCAGCUCACAUGCACCCAGGGAUCCCUGAUGGCUGCCCCCCAGCCUGACCCCUGCAGGGAAGACCAGCUUCAACUUUGGGUCCUCUAAAGGCUGUGGGGGCUGGAUGCUCCUGGGGCCCGGUGCUGGGGGCACAGCCAGACGAGGGGGUCUCAGGCUCACACUCCCUCUGACCCAUCCUUGGGCAAGACCUGCAGGCUGUGGAUACCUCCACUGACAGACGAUGGCCAGCAGAGAGACAGCAAGUCCUGGCUCCCCUCCCAGACGGAGACACUGCCUGGUAGGACUCACUGUUUUCCCCUUGAGGAAAAUGUGUACAGGGUACCAUGGGCCCCAACUUCCACCCCUUCAUCCACUACCUCCUCUCUUAACCUAUCCUCCCCUCUCCCCAGAGGCCCUUGGGAGGGAAGGCGGGGCCAGCCAGACUGUGAGGCAGGACUGGGCUUGUCUGUGCGCACACAUGUGUGCCCUCAGACAUGCCCCGAGCGCUAGGCAGCCCCCAGACCCCAGAGAGGCCCCAGCUUCAGUCACAUGGUGUCAGAGUUACCUUGGUAACUGGCCUUUUUGGUUCAGAGUAUAUUGUGGAGUGAAGCCCCUGGGAUUUGUCAAGAAACGCAUUGUACAUGAAAUGCUUUGCCAUCUUGUACAACACACAUUUUUAAGUUCCAAAAUUAUGAUGGGUUUUUCUUUUUUUUUGGAUUUGCUUUACGAAUAAACCUGAUUGGUCCAUUUCUCUUUCGACUGACUGCCUCUUUGUAGUGACAUGUUGUGUACACGGGCCGUGAUCCCGCUCGCGGGCACGCCGAGUGUGUGCGCACGGAGAAGGAUCACUUCUGCGUGUAGUUACAUGAUGUGAACAGGGUCACAGAAGAGGGUCAGAUCGGGUGGAGAUUUGACUGUCUCCAGCUUUUUGCCCCUCUUCAGUCUUUUAGAGAGCUUCCCCUCGUGUGGUCAUGCCCAUGUUGGCAUUGUCUUCCCUUGAGGCUCUCACCCUAGAGGAAGUCUUUGAGGAAGCCACGGUGCCUUCCCUGGGGGCUGAGCCAGUGCCGUGCUGGCCAGAAAGUUCUGCUUUGAGGGCAGAGAGCGUGCGGCAGGGUCAGUCCCCAAGAGCGAUGGGCAGGGGCAGAGGCCACCAGAGCUACCUCUGCCAGCUCCAGAGGCGUCCACGGGGCUGUUCCUGGACUUGGGAGAGGGAGAGCUCCCUGCUCUGGUCAAGCUUCAUCCUCACCAAAUGUACCCCCAAACUUCUUCCCAGGUUCCUUCUCAGGCUCCCACAGAGGCCAAGACUCGUCUUUCCCACCCGAGUCCAUCAGCUGCUGUUGUCUUUACACGUGCAUUUGCUCUGCUUUGCGGGGGAUGCAGCCGAGAGGAGACAGAGGACUGGGAGCCCCCUCCCAAAUCAUGGCCUGCUGUCACUGCCUCAUGCCUACAUCCUUGCUGGCGCCUGUGCGAGCUGACCAGGCCUGCUUGGGGGCAGAGCAGGGUGGAAGCCAAUGUCUUGGUCCGUGUGGGGAUCAGAGCGGACUGAGUGAUGGAGCUUAAGUCUGUGUGAGGAUGGAGCUGACUGAGCGGUCACAUUGGGUCUGUAUGGGGGACAGAGGAGGCUGUGUGACCAGGCCUAGUCUGUAUGGGGGAUGGAGCAUAUAGAGUGACCAGAUUGGGUCCAUAUGGCGGGGAGGUAUUGAGGGGAUCAGAUAGGGUGUGUGCGUGGGACAGUGUGAAGCAAAUGAUCAGAUAGGAUCCAAAGAGGGCCUGGAGUAGAGUUGAUGGAUUGAGUCUGGAUGGGGCCAGGGAUGCCUGAGUGGCCAGCCAGAUGCGGAUGAAAGGCAGCCAGGCUCUGGUCAGCAGCGGAGGGGUCAGAAAAGGCUGACUCUCUGGACAGGAGUGUUUCUGCGUGUCUGUCUGUCUUCUCCCUGAGCUCUGUGUCUAGCCCUCUACCCAUGACCACAUCCACACCAUCCUGUCUCAUCGGCCCCGCCUUGAGCCCUGGGCCCGGCACCCAGCACUGCGCUUGCUGGGCCCAUCACCAAAUCAUCUUUUUGCAAACUUUGAGCAAACCCAGGAACCCUCCUCCUCAGCACUGUGGGCAGCCCAAAGGCUGCCCAGUUGAGCCGGGGACCCCCAGCCUCCCACCUCCCUCCACGGCCCACUCACAUUUCUGUCCUCAGUUAUGGGCUGCCCUUUGCCGAUGCCCCACUUCUGGCCUGUCCCCCAACAACUAAACAGUUUUCAGUGUCUCAAUAGCUUCUGCUUAUAUGUUUGAAGAUUCCAAACUGAAUGGGGAGGUGGCGAAGGCCGCGCUGGCGAACGAAGACUGCCCCCACAUAGACCAGGCCCUCACUCCCGAUGAGGGCCUG